CCGUGGCCGCCUGCAUAGGCAUGCAGUCGACGGAGUUCUUAGCUUUUUCGAGAACUUAGUGGCGAAAGGGUGAGUAACACGUGGGUUACCUACCCUAGGGUGUGGGAUAACCUGUCGAAAGACGGGCUAAUACCGCAUACGUCCUACGAUUUUCGAAUCGUAGGGGAAAGAUGGGGAUCCGUAAGGACCUAUCACCCUUGGAUGGGCCCGCGGCCUAUCAGCUAGUUGGUGAGGUAAUGGCUCACCAAGGCUAAGACGGGUAGCUGGUCUGAGAGGAUGGUCAGCCACACUGGAACUGAGACACUGUCCAGACACCUACGGGUGGCUGCAGUCGAGAAUCUUUCGCAAUGGGGGCAACCCUGACGACGCGACGCCGCGUGGAGGAUGAAGGUCUUCGGAUUGUAAACUCCUGUCAGCUGGGAGGAAUGGGUGACUGGUUAAUAACCGGUCGCCGUGACAGUACCAGCAGAGGAAGCCACGGCUAACUCUGUGCCAGCAGCCGCGGUAAUACAGAGGUGGCAAGCGUUGUUCGGAUUUAUUGGGCGUAAAGGGUCCGUAGGCGGCUUAGAAAGUCGGAUGUGAAAUCCCACGGCUUAACCGUGGAACUGCAUUCGAAACUUCUAAGCUCGAGUGUGAGAGGGGCAAAGGGAAUUCCCGGUGUAAGAGUGAAAUCUGUAGAGAUCGGGAGGAACACCAGUCGCGUAGGCGCUUUGCUGGCUCACUACUGACGCUGAGGGGCGAAAGCCAGGGGAGCAAACGGGAUUAGAUACCCCGGUAGUCCUGGCCGUAAACGAUGGACACUAGUGUUGGGAGGGUUAAACCCUUUCGGUGCCGAAGCUCACGCAUUAAGUGUCCCGCCUGGGGAGUACGGUCGCAAGGCUGAACUCAAAGGAAUUGACGG
This 901-nucleotide ribosomal RNA is filed under the name uncultured Verrucomicrobiota bacterium. Its description in RNAcentral is "bacterial SSU rRNA". It matches the Rfam family "Bacterial small subunit ribosomal RNA", at positions 34 to 916 of the family's 1533-position model. The record is from RNAcentral. Lineage: Bacteria; Pseudomonadati; Verrucomicrobiota.